UAAUAGCUUUUAUUAUUAGUAACCCCUGCUCAAUGAAUAUUAAAUAGCCGCAGAUCAUCUGUGCUAAGGUAGCAUAAUCAAUUGCCUUAUAAUUAAAGGCUAGUAUGAAAGGGUGAGCAUGUUAACACCUUUAUUUUUUCAGUAUCUUGAAAUUUCUGUAAUGUAAAAAAGCAUUAACUACAAGAGGGACAAUAAGACCCUGUCGAACUUUACAAGAGUUUAACUGGGGCGGUUUAAAAACUAUAUCUUUUUUAAUCAUGUAUUAAUAAUAUAUCUUAAACAAGUUACCGCAGGGAUAACAGCAUAAUUUUUUUUUCAAAGUCCUUAUUUAAUAACAAGAUUGUGACCUCGAUGUUGAAUUAUUAGUCUGGGGGGAGCAAGAUCUUCUUAAGAAAGUCUGUUCGACUUUUAAAUAUUU
This 418-nucleotide ribosomal RNA is filed under the name Porrhothele sp. QMB S111386. RNAcentral describes it as "partial 16S ribosomal RNA". It matches the Rfam family "Archaeal large subunit ribosomal RNA", at positions 1926 to 2666 of the family's 2987-position model. The record is from RNAcentral. Lineage: Eukaryota; Metazoa; Arthropoda; Arachnida; Araneae; Hexathelidae.